Callithrix jacchus (white-tufted-ear marmoset) is the source of this 149-nucleotide unclassified non-coding RNA. It matches the Rfam family "Metazoan signal recognition particle RNA". From Rfam's summary of the family: The signal recognition particle (SRP) is a universally conserved ribonucleoprotein. It is involved in the co-translational targeting of proteins to membranes. NCBI's taxonomy places the organism in Eukaryota, Metazoa, Chordata, Mammalia, Primates, Cebidae. The record is from Ensembl.
GCUGGGCAUGGUGGCGCGUGCCUGUAAUCCCAGCUACUCAGGAGGCUGAGGCAGAAGAAUUGCCUGAACCCAGGAGGUGGAGGUUGCAGGGAGCAGAGAUCGCGCCACUGCACUCCAACCUGGGUAACAAGAGCGAAACUCUGUCUCAA